RNAcentral lists this ribosomal RNA (483 nucleotides) under uncultured bacterium. Its description in RNAcentral is "partial 16S ribosomal RNA". It matches the Rfam family "Bacterial small subunit ribosomal RNA", at positions 29 to 507 of the family's 1533-position model. The record is from RNAcentral.
AUUGAACGCUGGCGGCAUGCUUUACACAUGCAAGUCGAACGGCAGCGCGGGCUUCGGCCUGGCGGCGAGUGGCGAACGGGUGAGUAAUACAUCGGAACGUGCCCAGUGUGGGGGAUAGCUCGGCGAAAGCCGGAUUAAUACCGCAUACGACCUGAGGGUGAAAGCGGGGGAUCUUCGGACCUCGCGCUAUUGGAGCGGCCGAUGGCAGAUUAGCUAGUUGGUGGGGUAAAGGCCUACCAAGGCGACGAUCUGUAGCUGGUCUGAGAGGACGACCAGCCACACUGGGACUGAGACACGGCCCAGACUCCUACGGGAGGCAGCAGUGGGGAAUUUUGGACAAUGGGCGAAAGCCUGAUCCAGCAAUGCCGCGUGUGUGAUGAAGGCCUUCGGGUUGUAAAGCACUUUUGGCGGGAACGAAAAGGACUGUGCCAAUACCACGGUUCGAUGACGGUACCCGCAGAAUAAGCACCGGCUAACUACGUG